Long non-coding RNA from Felis catus (domestic cat), 2058 nucleotides. RefSeq lists it as uncharacterized. NCBI's taxonomy places the organism in Eukaryota, Metazoa, Chordata, Mammalia, Carnivora, Felidae. The transcript is spliced from 2 exons. The record is from RefSeq and is a predicted model, not a curated record.
GCCAGGGAAUCAGGGUUUUGUGAUGGGAUGGGGGUGGAGGUGGAGUGAGAAGACCACUCUGGGCUUGAAACUGAGAAAGAGAGAAACAUAUUUAAUGAUAUGUAUCUCCCGUGCCUCAUCUGGAACAAAGAAUAUGUGCAAGAAUAUGGGGGAAAUGAGAGUGUAGUUGGGCUCUUACCGGACAGGCUGGUAGAUCUGUAUGAUCUAUUGUAAUUGUAUGAUACACAUGUGUGACGGCCACAGCCUCUGCCCUGGCCGUCCUGGUGUCUGUGUCCUCAUGAGCUUCCCUCCCCGCUCCCCCUCCAUUAAAUAGGGCUGACUGUGUAGCUUGGGAGAUGUUGUGGAAAUGUCAAAGCGUGACUUCUGAAGUUAGGCAUAAAGGACAUUGUGGCUUCUAUCCACCUUGCACCUUGCUCUCCCUCGGGUCACUUGCCCUGGGACCAAGCCAGCUGCUGUGUCAUAAUGCCAUUGUCACCUUCGCAGCUUUACAAGGAGAUCCAUGUGGCAAGAAACUGAGACCUCCUGCUAACAACCAAAACCGAUUGGCCAGGGAUGUGAGGGAGCCCCCUUGAGAGUGAACCUUCCAACCCCACUCCAGCCUUCAGAUGAUGCAGCCGUGGCCGACGGCCUGAGUGCAGCCUUGUGGAAAACCCUGAGCCGGAACCAUCCAGUUAAGUGGCUCCUGAAAGCCUGACCCACAGACACUGUGAGAGACAAUAAAUGCUCACGGCUGCUUUAAGCCACUAUGUUUGGGAGGUAAUUUUUGGCAAGCAGCAAUAGAUAACGAAUAUGUACCUCGUAUAUUGGGCACAUCAUUACUUAGUAGUUCAGAUAUUGAAAGUCAGGUGUCACAUAACAGCAUGUUUUAUACUCUCCCCCCCCCCGAUGUAGGUUGUGAUGCCUUGAAAAAAAUCUAGCUUUUACUCUCUGAUUUAAAGGCACAGCGUCAUGGGGUACUUCCUUUCUCGCCCCCAAAUGCAGUCAUCUACAGCGAAUCUUAGGAAUACCAAGACCGGUUCCUUACAUGAAAGAUCUAUUUCAAACUUCUUGGCAUUUAAAAUGUUAAUCUUUCUAGAGCCGAAGGUUAAACUAGUCUUUAGAUUUUUCAGAGAUACUACCGAUUCACUCUGGCUACCGGACUCUUUAAUUUCAAACAGAGCAUCGUUAAGACUCCGUUGAAGCAGGACUGACUCAAAAUCAGGAAACAACUCUUAGCUUUCACAAAAACCAUUCAGAGCAGCUCCCUGGGCUCAUCUCUCCUGCUGUCCCCGUCGGAAAAUCCAUACCCACAACCUUUCCCAGCCUUUCGUCUGCCUCUGGAGAAUCAGGGAAGCCAAUGGGAGCAUUGUUCGCUUGACAACCGUGCUGUCCUUCAGGGUACAGACGCGCGGUGGGCGUCAUUGACCACAGGAGCGUAUGAGAAAGGAAGCCUUAGGUAUUGUGCCUCAUGCCACAGGUUCUGGUGGCCCCUCCCUCGGGAGGCUUGGCUGGGGAUCACUUCUGUUUUGCGGUACUGUGUGUAACCUUGGCAUGCAAUCAGCAGAGAAAAUAUUCAUUAUUGCCUGACUGUCUGCCGAAGACAAUUUCAAUUAUUCUGGCAUUUCAAUGGAUGAAGAAGCCCUUUAGGCUGGCCCCGGAGAUUAGACUUACAGGCUCCGUAAAUUAGGAAAGUUACAAUCAGUAUAUUAUCUGGCAGGCAGCUGUGGGAUACGGCACAGCAGGCAAAGAGAGACAAAUUGCUAUAUUCCGGUUGCGGUUUUGAUAUAUCAAUUUACAAGUUUAACAUACACAUUUGGGAAAGAAUGAUUUUGCAUUUCUUAAAUCACUUUUAACUGCCUGCACUCGAAGUUUCUGAACCUGCAACUUGAAUAGUCGGCUUGCCUUGCUGACGUUUUGUUUUAAAGCCCAAUUUCAGCUCGGAAAAAAAUAUUGCUGAGGACAGAGCUUGGGAAUUAAUCUUUCCUAAAGUUAUUCAAAUAAUAUAAUAUAUGGCAGUUAAGCAGAAUAUUCCAUUUGCAGAAAUGUGAAUGAUGUCCCAUAUAAAGGCUUUUUCUUUAA